Molecule: ribosomal RNA, 803 nt
Filed under: uncultured archaeon
Lineage: Archaea
Description: bacterial SSU rRNA
Rfam family: Archaeal small subunit ribosomal RNA
Source: RNAcentral
UUCCGGUUGAUCCCGCCGGACCUGACUGCUAUCGGAUUGAUACUAAGCCAUGCGAGUCAUUGUAGCAAUACAAGGCAGACGGCUCAGUAACGCGUAGUCAACCUAACCUAUGGACGGGAAUAACCUCGGGAAACUGAGAAUAAUGCCCGAUAGAACACUAUGCCUGGAAUGGUUUGUGUUCCAAAUGAUUUAUCGCCGUAGGAUGGGACUGCGGCCUAUCAGUUUGUUGGUGAGGUAAUGGCCCACCAAGACUAUUACAGGUACGGGCUCUGAGAGGAGUAGCCCGGAGAUGGGUACUGAGACACGGACCCAGGCCCUAUGGGGCGCAGCAGGCGAGAAAACUUUGCAAUGUGCGAAAGCACGACAAGGUUAAUCCGAGUGGUUUGUGCUAAACAGACCUUUUGUUAGUCCUAGAAACACUAACGAAUAAGGGGUGGGCAAGUUCUGGUGUCAGCCGCCGCGGUAAAACCAGCGCCUCAAGUGGUCAGGAUGAUUAUUGGGCCUAAAGCAUCCGUAGCCGGCUCUGUAAGUUUUCGGUUAAAUCUGUACGCUUAACGUACAGGCUGCCGGGAAUACUGCAGAGCUAGGGAGUGGGAGAGGUAGACGGUACUCGGUAGGAAGGGGUAAAAUCCUUUGAUCUAUUGAUGACCACCUGUGGCGAAGGCGGUCUACCAGAACACGUCCGACGGUGAGGGAUGAAAGCUGGGGGAGCAAACCGGAUUAUAUACCCGGGGUAGUCCCAGCUGUAAACUAUGCAAACUCAGUGAUGCAUUGACUUGUGGUCAAUGCAGUGCUGCAGGGAA